CGCGGCGUCUCAGUCGCAGCACCGCGCGCGCGCCGUAAACGCGAAUGUCAGACGCGUCGCGAGUACAAGGUAAAUCUUCGUCCGAACGUUCUUUCGCGCGCUCGAUAAACGAAAAGGGGCGAACGCGGCCGCUUCCGAGAGUGCGAUAACCCAGUGUACGCUCGAAUACAGUAACGGAUAAGAGAACGUGUUUCAUCCUCCUGUCGCGUCGCGAUCGCGCAGUAGCGGUUAGAUUGAGGUUAGGGGACGUCGCCUGUUUUGUAGUGCACUCGUGACACGCGUGCGCGACGAUUCGAGCCAGCAAGCUGUGCACGCGGUUCGCGCCGCUGUCAAUUUCAUCUUCAGCUGGUGGCGGAGACAACACGCCGACAGUGCGAGCCCCUUAAUGGCGUAACGGCCACGGUCGUGGACAACGGGCAGCAGGGACGGAAGAAAGGAGCGGAGAGAGCGGGCAGGCUGUGUGUACGGUGACGUAAGAAGUCAAAUUAAUAUCGUCGAAGAGUGGCGUCGACGAUAUAAAGGAUAUCGACCAAGUGAAGGAGAGAUUGUUUGAGGAAGUCUUGCGUGUGCAAGAGAGUGAAAAAGGAAGCUGCGAGCGCGAUGGGCGAGAGACGCGGUACGAAGGCCUUAGAGCUUUGGUGCCGGCGUAUAACCGACGGUUAUCCGGGUGUAAACGUGCAAAACAUGACCACCUCCUGGAGAGACGGGCUAGCCUUCUGCGCCAUGAUUCAUCACUUUCGGCCAGAUCUCAUUGAUUUCGACGGCCUG
This is a long non-coding RNA of Formica exsecta, 768 nucleotides long. RefSeq lists it as uncharacterized. The transcript has 3 exons. NCBI's taxonomy places the organism in Eukaryota, Metazoa, Arthropoda, Insecta, Hymenoptera, Formicidae. The record is from RefSeq and is a predicted model, not a curated record.